Molecule: ribosomal RNA, 391 nt
Filed under: uncultured bacterium
Lineage: Bacteria
Description: bacterial SSU rRNA
Rfam family: Bacterial small subunit ribosomal RNA
Source: RNAcentral
GACGAACGCUGGCGGCGUGCUUAACACAUGCAAGUCGAGCGGUAAGGCCCUUUCGGGGGUACACGAGCGGCGAACGGGUGAGUAACACGUGGGUGACCUGCCCUCAGCUCUGGGAUAAGCCUGGGAAACUGGGUCUAAUACCGGAUAUGACUCCAUGACGCAUGUUGUGGGGUGGAAAGCCUUGUGCGGCUGAGGAUGGGCCCGCGGCCUAUCAGCUUGUUGGUGGGGUGANGGCCUACCAAGGCGACGACGGGUAGCCGGCCUGAGAGGGCGACCGGCCACACUGGGACUGAGACACGGCCCAGACUCCUACGGGAGGCAGCAAUGGGGAAUCUUGCGCAAUGGGCGAAAGCCUGACGCAGCGACGCCGCGUGAGGGAUGACGGCCUGGU